GACGAACGCUGGCGGCGUGCUUAACACAUGCAAGUCGAACGGAAAGGCCCUGCUUUUGUGGGGUGCUCGAGUGGCGAAAGGGUGAGUAAAACGUGAGUAAAAUGCACUUGACUUUGGGAUAACUUCAGGAAACAGGGGCGAAUACCGGAUAGGAGCUCCUGCAGCAUGGUGGGGGUUGGAAAGUGUCGGCGGUUGGGGAUUGACUCGCGGCUUAUCAGCUUGUUGGUGGGGUAGUGGCUUACCAAGGCUUUGACGGGUAGCCGGCCUGAGAGGGUGACCGGCCUCAUUGGGCCUGCGAUACGGCCCAGUCUCCUACGGUAGGCAGCAGUGGGGAAUAUUGCACAAUAGGCGGAAGCCUGAUGCAGCAGCGCCGCGUGCGGGAUGACGGCCUUCGGGUUGUAAACCGCUUUCGCCUGUGACGAAGCGUGAUUGACGGUAAUGGGUAAAGAAGCACCGGCUAACUACGUG
RNAcentral lists this ribosomal RNA (468 nucleotides) under uncultured bacterium. RNAcentral describes it as "partial 16S ribosomal RNA". It matches the Rfam family "Bacterial small subunit ribosomal RNA", at positions 28 to 507 of the family's 1533-position model. The record is from RNAcentral.